RNAcentral lists this long non-coding RNA (380 nucleotides) under Homo sapiens (human). Its description in RNAcentral is "HSALNT0404872". Lineage: Eukaryota; Metazoa; Chordata; Mammalia; Primates; Hominidae. The record is from RNAcentral.
AGAGAGUGCUUCUUAGACAAAUGAGCUUUCCUGAUCUCAAAGCUACAAUAAGAGGACCUAAAAGUCAAAGAAAAUAAAGACAGAAUGUUUCACUGGCCACUGGCACUUGGCCAGGAUGCAGAGACUCUACAGUGGCAACACCUGACAGCCAAAAGUCCGCCAGUCUUACCGCCUGUUUCUCCACCAGGGGAGUGGAGCCACGGGUUGUUGCCUGGAGCCUGGCCACAACUUCCUUUUCCCAUCUGAAUAAGCCACUCAGCUUUUGUAAAUGUUGGCCACCAAUAAUUAGGAUAAGUGGAAACCCAGAUCUUAAAGUAUAACUCAAUUGAACUCAACUGAAUCCUCCUUGAACUCUGCUUUGGUAUCCUAAACUAAUAAAG